This 61-nucleotide transfer RNA is filed under the name Aleochara blackburni. RNAcentral describes it as "partial tRNA-Leu". Lineage: Eukaryota; Metazoa; Arthropoda; Insecta; Coleoptera; Staphylinidae. The record is from RNAcentral.
UAUGGCAGAUUAGUGCAAUGGACUUAAACCCCAUUUAUAAAGUUUGAACUUUUUUUAGAAA